This 253-nucleotide ribosomal RNA is filed under the name uncultured bacterium. Its description in RNAcentral is "partial 16S ribosomal RNA". It matches the Rfam family "Bacterial small subunit ribosomal RNA", at positions 524 to 776 of the family's 1533-position model. The record is from RNAcentral.
UACGUAGGGCGCGAGCGUUGUCCGGAAUUAUUGGGCGUAAAGAGCUCGUAGGUGGCUUGUUGCGUCUGCCGUGAAAGCCCGUGGCUUAACUACGGGUCUGCGGUGGAUACGGGCAGGGUAGAGGCUGGUAGGGGCAAGCGGAAUUCCUGGUGUAGCGGUGAAAUGCGCAGAUAUCAGGAGGAACACCGGUGGCGAAGGCGGCUUGCUGGGCCAGUUCUGACGCUGAGGAGCGAAAGCGUGGGGAGCGAACAGG